GAGUUUGAUCGUGGCUCAGAACGAACGCUGGCGGCAUGCCUAACACAUGCAAGUCGAACGGGAUCCGGACUUCGGUCCGGUGAGAGUGGCGGACGGGUGAGUAACGCGUGGGAACCUGCCCAAUGGUCUGGGAUAACCGCGGGAAACUGCGGCUAAUACCGGAUAAGCCCGAGAGGGGAAAGAUUUAUCGCCGAUGGAGGGGCCCGCGUCCGAUUAGGUAGUUGGUGAGGUAACGGCUCACCAAGCCGACGAUCGGUAGCUGGUCUGAGAGGACGAUCAGCCACACUGGGACUGAGAUACGGCCCAGACUCCUACGGGAGGCAGCAGUGGGGAAUAUUGGACAAUGGGGGCAACCCUGAUCCAGCAAUGCCGCGUGAGUGAUGAAGGCCUUAGGGUUGUAAAGCUCUUUUGGCGGGUACGAUGAUGACGGUACCCGCAGAAUAA
Molecule: ribosomal RNA, 444 nt
Filed under: uncultured Alphaproteobacteria bacterium
Lineage: Bacteria; Pseudomonadati; Pseudomonadota; Alphaproteobacteria
Description: bacterial SSU rRNA
Rfam family: Bacterial small subunit ribosomal RNA
Source: RNAcentral